CUAAUUACAUUCCUAUGUUUAUCAUUUUAGUACAAUUGUAGGAAGGAAUUUCUCUUUCUUCAACAGCUGAAGUGGAGAAACAGAGCUUCAUUGCUCCAAUUUACAGGCUUUCAUGGAGGACUGAAAAGGAUUUGAGGAAUUUGAACCAUGCAAAGUUUCUAAAGGAUACACAGAAAAAUUCAAGUAAUUUAGGCAAAAGUACAUUCAACCAAGAAAUUUUGAAAGGCAACAAAGGUCUACAAAUUGAAGAGAGCGUUGAGACGAUAAGAUUAUUGGCUUUGUGUGAAAUUGAACUUGAAUUUGUAUUAAUUUGUGUCGAGACGAUCGAAGUCUUAAAAUCUUAGACUUCAUAUCAGACGAUCGUUGUGGAGAUGGGACUUGGAGAGAAGGAUAGUAAAAGGGCAGGCCCAGCAAGAGCCCACACCAUCAAAGUCGUAAAAUUGAUAGCCCAGCCCAAUUUUAAAACCUUCUACCUCAUUUGGGCUUGGCCCAACCGAAUACAGCAUUUUUUUUCUUCGUCCUCCAAAUAUAACUUUUUAGCCACAUGAACUUGAGCUAGUUACCCGUGGACAAGAGGUUCCAAAAAAAAUAUUUUUUAAGAAACCUAAUUCAUUAUUUCA
Molecule: long non-coding RNA, 620 nt
Organism: Cucumis sativus (cucumber)
Lineage: Eukaryota; Viridiplantae; Streptophyta; Magnoliopsida; Cucurbitales; Cucurbitaceae
Exons: 3
Source: RefSeq, a predicted model, not a curated record